GUAUGUGCCUACAGUAUCGCGUUAAUGCACCGGAGCCCAUUAAAACUCCGUAGUUAAGCGCGCUCAGGAUAGAGUAGUAUUGGGAUGGGUGAUCACCUGAGAAGUCCUAGUGUUUUACAUUCC
Picea glauca (white spruce) is the source of this 123-nucleotide non-coding RNA. The record is from Rfam. Lineage: Eukaryota; Viridiplantae; Streptophyta; Pinopsida; Pinales; Pinaceae.